Molecule: ribosomal RNA, 450 nt
Filed under: uncultured bacterium
Lineage: Bacteria
Description: bacterial SSU rRNA
Rfam family: Bacterial small subunit ribosomal RNA
Source: RNAcentral
GUGGGGAAUAUUGGACAAUGGGCGAAAGCCUGAUCCAGCCAUGCCGCGUGUGUGAAGAAGGUCUUUGGAUUGUAAAGCACUUUAAGUUGGGAGGAAGGGCAGUAAGUUAAUACCUUGCUGUUUUGACGUUACCGACAGAAUAAGCACCGGCUAACUUCGUGCCAGCAGCCGCGGUAAUACGAAGGGUGCAAGCGUUAAUCGGAAUUACUGGGCGUAAAGCGCGCGUAGGUGGUUUUGUAAGUUGGAGGUGAAAUCCCCGGGCUCAACCUGGGAACUGCCUCCAAAACUGCAUGACUAGAGUACGGUAGAGGGUAGUGGAAUUUCCUGUGUAGCGGUGAAAUGCGUAGAUAUAGGAAGGAACACCAGUGGCGAAGGCGACUACCUGGACUGAUACUGACACUGAGGUGCGAAAGCGUGGGGAGCAAACAGGAUUAGAUACCCGGGUAGUCC